RNAcentral lists this long non-coding RNA (904 nucleotides) under Sus scrofa (pig). RNAcentral's name for it is "lncRNA (ENSSSCG00035003844.1)". Lineage: Eukaryota; Metazoa; Chordata; Mammalia; Artiodactyla; Suidae. The record is from RNAcentral.
CCUGGGGGUAGUCUGCCUUGGGAAAGUCCCAUAGUGUCCUGCCUUGUUCAACUUAAAGUAGCCUCCUCUCCCACCUUGCAUCCCUUGAAAUACUUGAAGAGAGCCACUAGGUUCCACUCUAUGUCUGUUCAUUUUCAUGUGACACACCCUCUGGCCCUCAGUGAAUCAUUUGCAUAAAGUGGUUUCUAGACUCUUCAUCACGAAACCUGGUUCCUGAAUCGAUGCUAGUUGGCUGACAGUUGCUACUGGGAACCCUAUAUACAUAGGAUACAAUGCUUCCUGCAACUGAAAGCACCUUCCUGCACAUAAGAACCUUCUAUUCCUUCAUUCAUGGGUAAGAAUCCCCUCUGCAAACAUGGUGACCAGGAGCUGGGAAACAGAUCCCCGGGUCCCGGAGACAGCGGCUACACCGCACAGGGCAGACGACCCGACUCCGACUGAACAGGUACGGCUGAAAGAGACCUCACGUGCCCUGGGUGGCACUGCACUGACCGACAGCUCUCAUCCCACAUUUGCCUGAACCCAGAGAAUGACAACGCCAAGAGCGAGCCCUGCUGCAGACCGUGGACUCUGGUCGUCUGGGUAGGUUCUGAGUGUGUGUGUGUGUGGGGGGGGCGUUGGUAAUGGGGAGACUGUGCGAGCGGGGACAUGGGUGGACUUUAUUGGGAACCCCUGGACUUUCCUGUCCAUGUUGCUGUGAACCUUCAACUGCACCAAAAACUAAAAUCUAUUAAAAAAUACGUUAUAACCGCCACUUAGGAUAAUGCAGAUUUUCUUGCUCUUUCCAGAACCUCCAGAGACAGCUGUAAGAAAAUGAAUUGACUUUUGCUCAAAACACAGAAAUCCUCAGAACCAAAAAUAAUCCCAGGAAGGAAAUAAAAUACAAGACACGCAGAAUUCCGCA